GACCGAAGCCUACUGGGUGCAGCAGGCGCGAAACUUCCGCAAUGCGCGAACUUCUUUUUCUUUCCGAAGAAAAAGACCUUCACUAGAAAAAGAAAGUAAGAAGCUUUCUUUUAGUCGAGGUUUUCUUUCACGAAAGAAAAAGUCGGCGUAAAAGCGUGACGGGGGUAGUCCGAGUGCCGUCCUAACGGACGGCUUUUAGCGAGCCUGAUACGCUCGUUGAAUAAGUGGUGGGUAAAUCCUGUGCCAGCCGCCGCGGUAACACAGGUAGCACAAGUGGUAUCCACGAAUAUUGAGCUUAAAGCGCCCGUAGCCGGCUCGUCAAGUUUCCUGUGAAAUCUUCAGGAUUAACCUGAAGGCGUGCAGGAAAUACUAACGGGCUCGGGAGUGGAGGAGGCAUGGGGUACUGUAGGGGGAGGAGUAAAAUCCUGUAAUCCUUGCAGGACCGCCAGUGGCGAAGGCGCCAUGCCAAAACACGUCCGACGGUGAGGGACGAAGGCUAGGGGAGCAAAUCGGAUUAGAUACCCGAGUAGUCCUAGCAGUAAAUGAUGCAGACUUGGCGUCGCAUCCGCUUCGUGCGGAUGCGGUGCCGUAGGGAAACCGUUAAGUCUGCCGCUUGGGAGUACGGUCGGCAAGGACUGAAACUUAAAGGAAUUGGCGGGGGAGCACCACAAGGGGUGGAUACUGCGGUUCAAUUUGGACUCAACGCCGGGAAGCUCACCAGGAAAGACGGCAGAAUGAAGCUCAGACUGAAGAUCUUAGCCGACAAGCCGAGAAGUGUUGCAUGGCCAGCGUCAGUUCGUGCUGUGAGGUGUCAGGUUAAGUCCUGCAACGAACGAGAUCUCCGCCCACAGUUGCUAACCCAGAAUAAAUUUUGGGUGCACUCUGUGGGGACUGCCUGCGUUAAGUGGGAGGAAGGCGGAGGCGACGCUAGGUCUGUAUGGCCUGAAUUUCCUGGGCCACACGUGGCAUACAAAGAUGCGGACAAUGCGUUCCGACGCCGAAAGGCGAAGGCAAUCGCCCAAACCGCAUCCCAGUUCGAAUUGGGGGCUGUAACUCGUCCCCAUGAAGUUGGAAUCCCUAGUAAUCGCGUGUCAUCAUCGCGCGGUGAAUAUGUCCCCGCUCCUUGCACACACCGCCCGUCAAGCCAUCCAAGCGAGGUUCUAGUGAGGCCGCCGCAUAAUAGCGGCGUUCGA
RNAcentral lists this ribosomal RNA (1193 nucleotides) under uncultured archaeon. Its description in RNAcentral is "partial 16S ribosomal RNA". It matches the Rfam family "Archaeal small subunit ribosomal RNA", at positions 314 to 1406 of the family's 1478-position model. The record is from RNAcentral.